UGCAAGCGUUAUCCGGAAUGAUUGGGCGUAAAGCGUCCGCAGGUGGCUGUUCAAGUCUGCUGUCAAAGACCGGGGCUUAACUUCGGAAAGGCAGUGGAAACUGAACAGCUAGAGUAUGGUAGGGGCAGAGGGAAUUCCUGGUGUAGCGGUGAAAUGCGUAGAGAUCAGGAAGAACAUCGGUGGCGAAGGCGCUCUGCUGGACCAUAACUGACACUCAGGGACGAAAGCUAGGGGAGCGAAUGGG
Molecule: ribosomal RNA, 244 nt
Filed under: uncultured bacterium
Lineage: Bacteria
Description: partial 16S ribosomal RNA
Rfam family: Bacterial small subunit ribosomal RNA
Source: RNAcentral